Molecule: ribosomal RNA, 1447 nt
Filed under: uncultured organism
Description: SSU rRNA
Rfam family: Bacterial small subunit ribosomal RNA
Source: RNAcentral
CUACAGGCUUAACACAUGCAAGUCGAGGGGCAGCAUGGUCUUAGCUUGCUAAGGCCGAUGGCGACCGGCGCACGGGUGAGUAACACGUAUCCAACCUGCCGUCUACUCUUGGACAGCCUUCUGGAAGGAAGAUUAAUACAAGAUGGCAUCAUGAGUCCGCAUGUUCACAUGAUUAAAGGUAUUCCGGUAGACGAUGGGGAUGCGUUCCAUUAGAUAGUAGGCGGGGUAACGGCCCACCUAGUCUUCGAUGGAUAGGGGUUCUGAGAGGAAGGUCCCCCACAUUGGAACUGAGACACGGUCCAAACUCCUACGGGAGGCAGCAGUGAGGAAUAUUGGUCAAUGGGCGAGAGCCUGAACCAGCCAAGUAGCGUGAAGGAUGACUGCCCUAUGGGUUGUAAACUUCUUUUAUAAAGGAAUAAAGUCGGGUAUGGAUACCCGUUUGCAUGUACUUUAUGAAUAAGGAUCGGCUAACUCCGUGCCAGCAGCCGCGGUAAUACGGAGGAUCCGAGCGUUAUCCGGAUUUAUUGGGUUUAAAGGGAGCGUAGAUGGAUGUUUAAGUCAGUUGUGAAAGUUUGCGGCUCAACCGUAAAAUUGCAGUUGAUACUGGAUAUCUUGAGUGCAGUUGAGGCAGGCGGAAUUCGUGGUGUAGCGGUGAAAUGCUUAGAUAUCACGAAGAACUCCGAUUGCGAAGGCAGCCUGCUAAGCUGCAACUGACAUUGAGGCUCGAAAGUGUGGGUAUCAAACAGGAUUAGAUACCCUGGUAGUCCACACGGUAAACGAUGAAUACUCGCUGUUUGCGAUAUACUGCAAGCGGCCAAGCGAAAGCGUUAAGUAUUCCACCUGGGGAGUACGCCGGCAACGGUGAAACUCAAAGGAAUUGACGGGGGCCCGCACAAGCGGAGGAACAUGUGGUUUAAUUCGAUGAUACGCGAGGAACCUUACCCGGGCUUAAAUUGCAGAUGAAUUACGGUGAAAGCCGUAAGCCGCAAGGCAUCUGUGAAGGUGCUGCAUGGUUGUCGUCAGCUCGUGCCGUGAGGUGUCGGCUUAAGUGCCAUAACGAGCGCAACCCUUGUUGUCAGUUACUAACAGGUUCCGCUGAGGACUCUGACAAGACUGCCAUCGUAAGAUGUGAGGAAGGUGGGGAUGACGUCAAAUCAGCACGGCCCUUACGUCCGGGGCUACACACGUGUUACAAUGGGGGGUACAGAGGGCCGCUACCACGCGAGUGGAUGCCAAUCCCCAAAACCUCUCUCAGUUCGGACUGGAGUCUGCAACCCGACUCCACGAAGCUGGAUUCGCUAGUAAUCGCGCAUCAGCCAUGGCGCGGUGAAUACGUUCCCGGGCCUUGUACACACCGCCCGUCAAGCCAUGAAAGCCGGGGGUACCUGAAGUACGUAACCGCAAGGAGCGUCCUAGGGUAAAACUGGUAAUUGGGGCUAAGUCAUAA